GCCGAAGUGGCGGAAUAGGUAGACGCGCUGGUCUCAAAAACCAGUGAGGGCAACCUCGUACCGGUUCGAUCCCGGUCUUCGGCA
This 84-nucleotide transfer RNA is filed under the name Chloroflexota bacterium. RNAcentral's name for it is "tRNA-Leu". It matches the Rfam family "tRNA". Rfam says of the family: Transfer RNA (tRNA) molecules are approximately 80 nucleotides in length. Their secondary structure includes four short double-helical elements and three loops (D, anti-codon, and T loops). Lineage: Bacteria; Bacillati; Chloroflexota. The record is from RNAcentral.